ACCCCGAUGGGCCAUGGCUCCUGGAAUGGGCUAUGGCUGAAAUCUACAUGGCCCCAGGAUGGGACUGCGGCCGAUCAGGUUGUUGGUGGGGUAAUGGCCCACCAAGCCUAUAACCGGUGCGGGCUCUGAGAGGAGGAGCCCGGAGAUGGGCACUGGGACAAGGGCCCAGGUCCUAUGGGGCGCAGCAGGCGCGAAACCUCCGCAAUGGGUGAAAGCCCGACGGGGUCAGUCCGAGUGGUUCCCGCUGAGGGAACCUUUUGCCAGCUGUAAACAGGCUGGCGAAUAAGGGGUGGGCAAGUUUGGUGUCAGCCGCCGCGGUAAUACCAGCACCCCGAGUGGUCGGGACGAUUAUUGGGCCUAAAGCAUCCGUAGCCGGCCCAGUAAGUCCUCCGUUAAAUCCAACGGCUCAACCGUUGGGCUGCGGGGGAUACUGCUGGGCUAGGGGACGGGAGAGGCGAGGGGUAUUCCCGGGGUAGGGGUAAAAUCCACUGAUCCCGGGAGGACCACCAGUGGCGAAGGCGCCUCGCUAGAACGUGCCCGACGGUGAGGGAUGAAAGCUGGGGGAGCGAACCGGAUUAGAUACCCGGGUAGUCCCAGCCGUAAACGAUGUAGGCUCGGGUGUUGGGCUGCCUCAGUGGCAGCCCAGUGCCGCAGGGAAGCCGUUAAGCCUACCGCCUGGGGAGUACGGCCGCAAGGCUGAAACUUAAAGGAAUUGGCGGGGGAGCACCACAAGGGGUGAAGCCUGCGGUUUAAUUG
This 756-nucleotide ribosomal RNA is filed under the name uncultured archaeon. Its description in RNAcentral is "bacterial SSU rRNA". It matches the Rfam family "Archaeal small subunit ribosomal RNA", at positions 150 to 908 of the family's 1478-position model. The record is from RNAcentral.